This is a long non-coding RNA of Haliotis rubra (blacklip abalone), 101 nucleotides long. RefSeq lists it as uncharacterized. The transcript is spliced from 3 exons. The record is from RefSeq and is a predicted model, not a curated record. NCBI's taxonomy places the organism in Eukaryota, Metazoa, Mollusca, Gastropoda, Lepetellida, Haliotidae.
GGUCGUGGCAGGAAACGAGGACGAGGCAAGCGUAGGCGAGGUCGUGGCAGGAAACGAGGACGAGGCAAGCGUAGGCGAGGUCGUGGCAGGAAACGAGGACG